CUUUGGUACAGUAGGUAGUGCUUCAAUCUCGAAAACUGAAGGUCCAGAGUUCGAUCCUCGGAAG
This 64-nucleotide transfer RNA is filed under the name Monodelphis domestica (gray short-tailed opossum). It matches the Rfam family "tRNA", at positions 5 to 66 of the family's 71-position model. Rfam says of the family: Transfer RNA (tRNA) molecules are approximately 80 nucleotides in length. Their secondary structure includes four short double-helical elements and three loops (D, anti-codon, and T loops). Lineage: Eukaryota; Metazoa; Chordata; Mammalia; Didelphimorphia; Didelphidae. The record is from Rfam by way of RNAcentral.